This is a long non-coding RNA of Prosopis cineraria, 1421 nucleotides long. RefSeq lists it as uncharacterized. The transcript has 2 exons. NCBI's taxonomy places the organism in Eukaryota, Viridiplantae, Streptophyta, Magnoliopsida, Fabales, Fabaceae. The record is from RefSeq and is a predicted model, not a curated record.
UCUCCGUUGUAUUUGUUUUGUUCACUCCACUGAUGCUUUCUUCGACGAACUUCAUCUUCUUUCGUGCAAGUUGAUUCUCCUUCUUAAUGCUUCUUUGUCUCCGUUGGGCACGACUUCUAUAGGUAUGGUGUGUCCACGUUGGUGUUUUUUCAGUACGAGUCCCACAUCGCAUAAGCUUCAAUCAACUUCGUUCUUUAUAUAUAUAAAGCACAGACGUGAGCUUGUCCCUUCGGGGACAUCCGAUAAAAUUGGAACGAUACAGAGAAGAUUAGCAUGGCCCCUGCGCAAGGAUGACACGCACAAAUCGAGAAAUGGUUCAAAUUUUUUUAUUGUAUAAUUUCAUCCCCAAACCCACUUCCUUCGUUUUCGUUCUUGGGUUCUUCCUGAGAAACCCCUCUUUGUUCGUUUUUUGUUCUUGGUUUCUUAUUAGCGGUGGUGCGUUUCGUUUUCAGUUGUUGAAACAGAGAUUAUGCAUUUCCUGUCAUUAAUAAACCCACUUCGUUUACCCUCAGCUUCUUUCUGAGAAUUAUCUCUGCUAAGAAGAUAGGGUAAUGGGGAAAGUAUUUAGAGCAGUGAUGAGUUUCGAUCUAAGUUUCAUUUCCUGAACCUGGAAAACUUUUUUCCCAAAAAAGAAAAGGUUAAACUUCAAAUGGAAUUUGAUUGAAUACCAUUGGGUUCUAACAAAAGGCACCACAAAACGGGAAAGGUUGCACAUUGCCAUGCCCCUGUUAUAUAAUUCUUGGUUAUUUGCAUUUGAUCUUUUGAAACUCAUGGCACAAACUUCAGGUGAUAAAAGCUUAUUCAUUGUUUUAAGUCGGAAUGCUUUUGGCUGGAACUUAAACAUAAUUUUAAUGAAGUCGAGAUUAAGCUGGACUGCUACAUCAUCCUUUUCUUGAAAUGGAAUGCCUUCUUAACAGACAAGUGUUCUAGUUUUCUGGUCAGAGAUGCUUAAUAUAUUUGCUGCAACCCAUCUUCAUUAGAAAUGAAAUUUAUAUUUUCGGGCAAUGUAGUUUUUUAUGUUUUGCCUGGAAUAAACCUUUUUUUACUCCAUAAACCCCCUCCCCUUUUUUUCAGUGUUACUGUAUUAACUAUUAAGGAUUCUGAGUUGUGUUCUUCUUGUAGUGAAUCUUGCCGUUUUUCGCAUUUCCCAUCUUGUUUCAAGGAUUGUUGUUUGAUUCUUCUAAAGUAUGGCAUUCCAAUGCAUUGCCAAUGUUCACGUUCUUUUAGUUGAAGGAUUUGUUCUGGUGAUUUGCUAAACCUCCAAGGACAAGCAAACCUCUCAAGAUAAAUAUACAUGUACACGGGGAACAAUUUAUUUUUCUGAUUAAUUUGCUUUCUCAAUUUGUGUUUUGACUUUAAAUUGCCAUGCACAUGGGGUUUAUAUAGUUUGUUUGAAUAAUAGUUUGUGUUUAUGAUGGGAA